RNAcentral lists this ribosomal RNA (253 nucleotides) under uncultured bacterium. RNAcentral's name for it is "partial 16S ribosomal RNA". It matches the Rfam family "Bacterial small subunit ribosomal RNA", at positions 524 to 776 of the family's 1533-position model. The record is from RNAcentral.
UACGUAGGGUGCGAGCAUUGUCCGGAAUUACUGGGCGUAAAGAGCUCGUAGGUGGUUUGUCGCGUUGUCCGUGAAAACUCACAGCUUAACUGUGGGCGUGCGGGCGAUACGGGCAGACUGGAGUACUGCAGGGGAGACUGGAAUUCCUGGUGUAGCGGUGGAAUGCGCAGAUAUCAGGAGGAACACCGGUGGCGAAGGCGGGUCUCUGGGCAGUAACUGACGCUGAGGAGCGAAAGCGUGGGGAGCGAACAGG